RNAcentral lists this ribosomal RNA (440 nucleotides) under uncultured bacterium. RNAcentral's name for it is "partial 16S ribosomal RNA". It matches the Rfam family "Bacterial small subunit ribosomal RNA", at positions 338 to 795 of the family's 1533-position model. The record is from RNAcentral.
CCUACGGGAGGCAGCAGUGGGGAAUAUUGCACAAUGGGGUAAACCCUGAUGCAGCGAAGCCGCGUGAGUGAAGAAGUCUUUCGGUACGUAAAGCUCUAUCAGCCGGGAAGAAAAUGACGGUACCUGACUCAGAAGCGCCGGAUCACUACGUGCCACCAGCCGCGGUAAUACGUAGGGGGCAAGCGUUAUCCGGAUUUACUGGGUGUAAAGGGAGGGUAGACGGCAGCGCAGGUCUGGAGUGAAAUGCCAUGGCUUAACCAUGGAACUGCUUUGGAAACUGUGCAGCUGGAGUGCAGGAGAGGUAAGCGGAAUGCCUGGUGUAGCGGUGAAAUGCGUAGAUAUUAGGAUGAACUCCAGUGGCGAAGGCAGCGUACUGGACUGUAACUGACGUUGAGGCUCGAAAGCGUGGGGAGCAAAUAGGAUUAGAUACCCGGGUAGUA